AUUCUUAUAGUUUAUUUAUAAAAAAUAUUACAUCUGAAAAUGUAAAGAAAUAAUUUUUAAGAAUA
This 65-nucleotide transfer RNA is filed under the name Ixodes pavlovskyi. RNAcentral's name for it is "tRNA-Phe". Lineage: Eukaryota; Metazoa; Arthropoda; Arachnida; Ixodida; Ixodidae. The record is from RNAcentral.